ACUCUAAGGAGACUGCCGGUGACAAACCGGAGGAAGGUGGGGAUGACGUCAAGUCCUCAUGGCCUUUAUGACCAGGGCUACACACGUACUACAAUGGCCGAUACAAAGGGCAGCGACACUGCGAGGUGAAGCCAAUCCCGUAAAAUACGGUCUCAGUCCGGAUUGGAGUCUGCAACUCGACUCCAUGAAGUUGGAAUCGCUAGUAAUCGUGGAUCAGCAUGCCACGGUGAAUACGUUCCCGGGCCUU
RNAcentral lists this ribosomal RNA (247 nucleotides) under uncultured Desulfobulbus sp. RNAcentral's name for it is "partial 16S ribosomal RNA". It matches the Rfam family "Bacterial small subunit ribosomal RNA", at positions 1137 to 1382 of the family's 1533-position model. The record is from RNAcentral. Lineage: Bacteria; Pseudomonadati; Thermodesulfobacteriota; Desulfobulbia; Desulfobulbales; Desulfobulbaceae.